GGCGAAGGCAUCGUGGGCUAGAGUUUGGACCGGAUUGAGAUCCAGGAGUCUUGGGGCGCGAUAGUGAGUGCUGAUCAGUCUUCCAUCAGGUCUCCAGAGUCGACUAGGUAGCUGUUUGGCAUUCGCAGCCGUGUGCUUCUCCUUCCUACCUUAUUCAGCUUUGUAUUAGCAUUUUGUUUCAGACUAUGUUGUCCUUUCUUAUUCCUAGACGAGUUGUAGUUGCUCAUGAUUGGUGACACCCCGAUGUCGGGCUGUGUUAUAUAUUUUCCGCAUUGUUUCCUUUAACUUAUACUAUUGGAUUUUAGCUAA
This is a long non-coding RNA of Nicotiana tabacum (common tobacco), 309 nucleotides long. RefSeq lists it as uncharacterized. The record is from RefSeq and is a predicted model, not a curated record. Lineage: Eukaryota; Viridiplantae; Streptophyta; Magnoliopsida; Solanales; Solanaceae.